GAUGAACGCUGGCGGCGUGCCUAAUACAUGCAAGUCGAGCGAACAGACGAGGAGCGUGCUCCUCUGACGUUAGCGGCGGACGGGUGAGUAACACGUGGAUAACCUACCUAUAAGACUGGGAUAACUUCGGGAAACCGGAGCUAAUACCGGAUAAUAUAUUGAACCGCAUGGUUCAAUAGUGAAAGACGGUUUUGCUGUCACUUAUAGAUGGAUCCGCGCCGCAUUAGCUAGUUGGUAAGGUAACGGCUUACCAAGGCAACGAUGCGUAGCCGACCUGAGAGGGUGAUCGGCCACACUGGAACUGAGACACGGUCCAGACUCCUACGGGAGGCAGCAGUAGGGAAUCUUCCGCAAUGGGCGAAAGCUUGACGGAGCAACGCCGCGUGAGUGAUGAAGGUCUUCGGAUCGUAAAACUCUGUUAUUAGGGAAGAACAAAUGUGUAAGUAACUAUGCACGUCUUGACGGUACCUAAUCAGAAAGCCACGGCUAACUACGUG
This 497-nucleotide ribosomal RNA is filed under the name uncultured bacterium. RNAcentral's name for it is "partial 16S ribosomal RNA". It matches the Rfam family "Bacterial small subunit ribosomal RNA", at positions 28 to 507 of the family's 1533-position model. The record is from RNAcentral.